GAUGCCAGGUGCGAGGAAGAAGGAAAGUCUGUUCCUACACAAGGCCUGGGCCUACUAGCUAGGGAGAACCAGAGCUAGCUCCUGUAAGGGAGAAGCCCUGAGUUAUGGCUUAGAGGAAGAUCCCCUUCCCUAGUGCCUCGACCAUCUUCCUUUGGGGGACAGUAGGGGAUGCUUGUUGUCAGGUCUGGGAGGCCAGCUUUUGGGUGCUUUUAAAGAGGCCCAGCAGUUUGGGGCUGGAAAGCUGAAUUACAGGAGGAGAGCUGUGGGGUGGUGUUCCAAGGGGGAAACAGAAGAGGCCAAUGCAAGCAGGGUAGGCUUCUGGGGAACCCUGAGUUAGGCCUUCAGGGAACAGAAAAAAAGGCCAGCAGGGGCAGAGCACUGGUUUGUUGUAUUUGGACUCCCAGCAAGGGAAAAGCCAGGGGAGCUGACACUGCGACAAGAGUGAGAAAGAACUGAGCUGAGCCCAGGAAGGGUGAAGGAACUCUAAUUUGUCAACUGGGACUCUCAGUACUCAUAAGGGGUUUGAACUGUGGGCUUGGCUGGAUGGCUGAGCCAUGGAAGAUCCAGCAAGAGGCAGGCAGCCUGCUGGAGAUACUGGAACUGAGGAUACUGGUGACAUUAGGCAAUGAGGCAAGGGGGCACUCCAAGGAUGAGUGUGCCCUAUAACAGUCUGAGUCAAAGCCCACUGACAUGAAUGGAAGCCUUUCCUUGGACUUCAGAUCAGACCCAGUAUCGCAGAACCCAACAGGAGGGGAAAAAAACAAACUUUCAAUGCUGUUGUAAGGCCAGUUUUAAAUCAGCAUUUAGUUAAUAUAACUCUGACCCUAGGAGCACCCCAGUGCCAGAUGGUAUGGAGCAAUGAAUUUCAGCUGACCUGGCCAGUUCAGUCCACCUCACACUAAAUCUAGUGGGGGCAUUUAAUGUCCUCAGAAAACUAAUAACUCACUGGUCAUUAAUAUUAUGAUGUAUGUACAAUUAACCUGCAAAGAAUUAUACUAAAUGUGCUGGAAAUAGGUAACUAAAAAUGUCUACACCAGGCAUAUCAGGAGAAAUUGAUAAAUAGGUUUUUCCAGACAAAGGAAAGGGGCUGACACCUCAAGCCAAGUGUGGCAAGGGAAAAUGGGCUAGCCAUUUGUAUCGUAGACUGCAAGAUCAUGUGCAUUGUAAAAGUCACAAGUGGGGGAGGAGCCAGCAGGGGAAAGGAACUUUAUCUGGGGAUACACUUAAGGAUUAUACAUUUUAAAUGUUUACUGGACUAUAAAAAGGGGGAAGGGAAGAGGAGAUCCCUUAAGUUAUCCUUCACCACAGGAGUCAAAGAAAUCCAAGCACUUCAGGCUACGUAAUUGAUCCUCAGCCAGGACUAGCCAGCCAUGCUGGAAGAAUGACUAUGGACUGUUGGAAAAAAGUCAGAUGUGAAGAAGGCUGGAUGGAGUACAAAAUAUAGGGAGACAUUCCAGGUGUAGAGUGCUGAAUGGGAGAUGGUACAAAAGUCCUUCUAAGAGAAAAGAACUACCAUGCCUGCAGACGCUCCAAGAGCUUUCUAGGUGUUGGAACCAAGAAGGAGCCAUGCCUCAAAGCGAAGAAACCCUACACCCCAGCCUGGGGAAUAUCCUCUGCUCUCUGAGAGGAGGUACAGAGUGGCUGGGAGAGGGAUCAAUGAGCACACUGGAAGCUAUGACAGCAGGACAGUAGGGGAAAAGGAGGAAUGGCAGAGAGAUGGUCCCUAUUCCAAGGGAGGGAGGAGAGCAUCGCCCAGAAAACGUUAUCCUAUUCCUGCUCUGGAGCAGUAGCGUGGGCAUUUCUUGUUCAGGUGCGGCAGAACAUUGUCAACCAGUGGCCAAAUGUCAACCAAUGGCUGUAGCAGUUGGAGGAAGUGGUCUAUUGACACCUCAACCCACACAUCAAAAUUGGUGCUUGGAUGUAGGCUGCUAGGAUGAGACAGAUUGUGGGCCAGAUGGUUUACACCUUAAAAAUUUGUUUUUCUUCCUCUGUGGCUUGCAGUAAUAUUGAGUUAAGUAUUGGGAGAUGCAUGGUUUGUUCUGGGGCUGCAGACUACACUUCCUCUUUAGUCCUGGCAUGUAGAUGCCCAUGAACAGAGAGUAGUCUAAGAAUCUUCAGGAUGUGAAGAGAGGCAUGAGUCUUUUCCACUAAGAGCUUAGUGCAUUCAAAGGGAAGGUCUCCAACGGUUGACUGUACCUCCUUUGGGAAUCCCUACAGAUGGAAUCAUGACACCCAUGGCAUCACAACCACCCUGGAGAAGGACUUGGCCACUGUGUUGGUUGCGUUGAGGACAGAUUGUAGUGUUGUCUUUCUACUAACUAUCCCUCCUGGAUAAUGCCCUUAAAUUGGUUGCAAUGUGACUCAGGCAGCUGCUCAA
Molecule: long non-coding RNA, 2377 nt
Organism: Dermochelys coriacea (leatherback sea turtle)
Lineage: Eukaryota; Metazoa; Chordata; Testudines; Dermochelyidae
Exons: 5
Source: RefSeq, a predicted model, not a curated record